Pogonomyrmex barbatus (red harvester ant) is the source of this 543-nucleotide long non-coding RNA. The record is from RefSeq and is a predicted model, not a curated record. NCBI's taxonomy places the organism in Eukaryota, Metazoa, Arthropoda, Insecta, Hymenoptera, Formicidae.
AAUAAGACAGAGAACAAUGGAACUCAACUCAAGAAUCCUGGCAUUACAAAAUUCGCAACUCGAUAAAGCACGUAUCGAGAGCUAUAUCGCUGAAAUUUCUAAAUAUUAAUGAUGUCUUCUCUCGACGACGGAAAUAAUGCAUCAACCGCUCGAAUCUGUCCUUUUUCUUGACUAUACAAUAAAGGUUUGAAGAGAAAUUUUAUUUUAUGCGUCAUAAAAUCACAUCUCAUACCACGCUAUCGUCGUCAAACCAUAAAUUGCGAUGCGUUCGCCAUGCAUUAGUGAUAAAUGAUAAUUAUACCUUUGUAGCGAUCUUGGUUCUAGACUCGUGUCGCGGCCCACGUGUACCACAUGGCUAUAAAUAAUUUUAGCGAUGCCCUUGCCGAUCUCAUCUUAUUAUGAUUAUUCAUUUAUAAAUCAUGUUAUACAUAAUAUUAGAAUUAUUCGCGAUUGGAAAUUAAAAUUUUUUAGUAAGGCAAAACAUAAAAUUUGAAAAUACGCAGUAAGGUGAUAUAUUUACGAAUAUCAAUUGUUAUUACAUUG